Molecule: long non-coding RNA, 1939 nt
Organism: Phyllopteryx taeniolatus (common seadragon)
Lineage: Eukaryota; Metazoa; Chordata; Actinopteri; Syngnathiformes; Syngnathidae
Exons: 2
Source: RefSeq, a predicted model, not a curated record
UACCCAUCUGCCAAGACAGGGCGCCGUGUUAGAUACACGGGUACAUAGUUGGACUAGAUUUGGAUGAUUACUGGAGACUUACAACAGUCGAUCGAUCUUGACUUACAAGUGCCCCAACUUACAAGUGUUUCAAGUUACAAGCUGUCAUUUGAUUGUUUCGCUUUUGUGUUGCGAGUCAAAAUUUGAGCUACUAGCUAGCUUCAGAUACGCUGCUGCUCGAGUGCAGUGAAAGAAAGAAAAUGGAGCAAUAAUGCCCUUGUCACCGAUGCCCUUUCAGCCGUUGAACGUGACAGUCAAACACACAAAUACAAAAUGAGAACACCUGUGAGGAGCUGCUGUAGGCCACAACUCGCGCCCAGACACUCACACUGACUCCUAACGUCACUUACUAGACCUCGCCCCUUAAAAGGCACACAUCCAAUACGCAGAAACUGUAGAAUGGAAAGUUAUACACUUUAUCCUAUUAUUAUGUUGUAUUAAGUUUCUAUACAAUACGGUGUAUUUUUUUUUAUAUGGCUGGAAGGGACUAAUGGCAUUUCAGUUCACUUCAUUGGGGAAAAUGAUUUAAUAUACUGGUAAGUGCAAAUCCAGUUACUUGAGAAAAGCCUGGUCACGGAAUGAAUUCAACUCAAGUCUGGUCAUGUACGAGUGUACUGGUACAUGGCCUUUAGCAAGCAUUCUUUAAUUUCAAUUUCAAUGUGAAAUGUGUCGAGUUGCACAGCCGUGGGUGCGCGUGUGCGUGUGUGGACUCACGCUGUAGACGGCUGCCACCCCGGUCUGCGCGGAGAAGAUUCUGUCAUCCAGUGACUGCUGAACCCGAGGAAUUCUGCAAAGGUGCAUUUUAAGGAAAACCAGCACUGUGAUACAUGGAUCCGUUUGGGUCGUUAUUUCAAGGGAGCGUCAUCACUUGUUUUAAAAUAAUACUGAUGAAGGUACACAAGGAGAUUUGGUACACUAAAGGGAAGUUUUAAAUCAGUAGAAAAUGACAGAAUCAAUGCGUCAGCCAUGCUGAAGUUGAUUUUAUUUUCAAAAGGGAUUUCCUCGAAGCUCAACAGCUUGCCGAGUUUCAUUUCAAGGAUUCCCCCAACCGCCCCUCCCCACUAAACAAGCCCCUCGCUAAUAGUACACUGUGUACCUUUCACCAUUCGUAGAGUGCUAAAGGGAAAAUGUGAAGUGGAUUUUUGGGUGUUUUUGCGGCUUUGGGUAAUAUAAAACAAGACGACUGCUUAGCCUGCACAAGGGAAAAGGUAGACCAUAAUUGAACAAUAAACAGCAAAUGUCCUGUUAUGACUUGUUCAAAUCUACUCAGGAUCAGCUUGAAUGUAAGCCAAGCAGCAGCGCUUAAAUGGGCAGACGAGUCGUGAAGCAGAGAGCCACUCAGCGAGGCGUCGGAGGGGACCAAAAGAGGGAGCGCCGACCAGCCACACAUGACAGCGAAGCCCCGCGGUUAACCUGCUUGGCCGCUGGUCUGUGUCACACUCGCAAACCGCUGCUCACGUGGUUUCGGUGAAAGCGAGUAUCUGGCUGUCUUCCGCCUGGCCCAGAGUCACGUCUCGCAAUUCUCACGAGCCAGCAUCCUGACGCCGCUCUUGGCUCCCUGCCAGGCCUGCUAUUCAUACCGACUACGCAAAGAGGAGACUGAAAAAAGCAGACUAGGUGGCGGUGAUCAAAGUGAGCCUGUUACUGUUAGGAUUCGGCAUCGACCUACCGGGACAGGCCCCGAGGUGACGCACUUUCCCCAGAGGAGUCUACCUGCGACGCUUCAUUUCAUUCAACGGACUCUCCCCCCCUCCCUAAAUGUGUUUUCUCAGAUGUUUUCCUUGCCGGGAUUGCGGGGUCUACACCAGGGGAUGACGAUUGUGAAUUGUGGGUCUGUGAAGCCUUUUGAGACUCUUCUGUGACUAAGGGCUACACAAAUAAACUUGACUACGGUCAACAA